AACGAACGCUGGCGGCAUGCCUAACACAUGCAAGUCGAACGAGACCUUCGGGUCUAGUGGCGCACGGGUGCGUAACACGUGGGAAUCUGCCCUUUGCUUCGGAAUAACAGUUAGAAAUGACUGCUAAUACCGGAUGAUGCCGAAAGACCAAAGAUUUAUCGGCAAAGGAUGAGCCCGCGUAGGAUUAGGUAGUUGGUGGGGUAAAGGCCUACCAAGCCGACGAUCCUUAGCUGGUCUGAGAGGAUGAUCAGCCACACUGGGACUGAGACACGGCCCAGACUCCUACGGGAGGCAGCAGUGGGGAAUAUUGGACAAUGGGCGAAAGCCUGAUCCAGCAAUGCCGCGUGAGUGAUGAAGGCCUUAGGGUUGUAAAGCUCUUUUACCAGGGAUGAUAAUGACAGUACCUGGAGAAUAAGCGCCGGCUAACUCCGUG
This 433-nucleotide ribosomal RNA is filed under the name uncultured bacterium. RNAcentral describes it as "partial 16S ribosomal RNA". It matches the Rfam family "Bacterial small subunit ribosomal RNA", at positions 29 to 507 of the family's 1533-position model. The record is from RNAcentral.